This 492-nucleotide ribosomal RNA is filed under the name uncultured bacterium. Its description in RNAcentral is "partial 16S ribosomal RNA". It matches the Rfam family "Bacterial small subunit ribosomal RNA", at positions 29 to 507 of the family's 1533-position model. The record is from RNAcentral.
AGUGAACGCUGGCGGUAGGCCUAACACAUGCCAGUCGAACGGCAGCACAGUAAGAGCUUGCUCUUACGGGUAGCGAGUGGCGGACGGGUGAGGAAUACAUCGGAAUCUACUUUUUCGUGGGGGAUAACGUAGGGAAACUUACGCUAAUACCGCAUACGACCUACGGGUGAAAUCAGGGGAUCUUCGGACCUUGCGCGAUUGAAUGAGCCGAUGUCGGAUUAGCUAGUUGGCGGGGUAAAGGCCCACCAAGGCGACGAUCCGUAGCUGGUCUGAGAGGAUGAUCAGCCACACUGGAACUGAGACACGGUCCAGACUCCUACGGGAGGCAGCAGUGGGGAAUAUUGGACAAUGGGCGCAAGCCUGAUCCAGCCAUACCGCGUGGGUGAAGAAGGCCUUCGGGUUGUAAAGCCCUUUUGUUGGGAAAGAAAAGCAGCAGGUUAAUACCCCGCUGUUCUGACGGUACCCAAAGAAUAAGCACCGGCUAACUUCGUG